This 268-nucleotide ribosomal RNA is filed under the name uncultured bacterium. RNAcentral describes it as "partial 16S ribosomal RNA". It matches the Rfam family "Bacterial small subunit ribosomal RNA", at positions 565 to 832 of the family's 1533-position model. The record is from RNAcentral.
GAGCACGUGGUGGGUUUGUAAGUCAGCUGUGAAAGCCUUCUGCUUAACGGAAGAACAGCAGUUGAAACUACAGUGCUUGAGUGCGGGAGGGGAGAGUGGAACUUCUGGUGGAGCGGUGAAAUGCGUAGAUAUCAGAAGGAACGCCGGCGGCGAAAGCGGCUCUCUGGCCCGUAACUGACGCUGAGUGUGCGAAAGCUAGGGGAGCAAACGGGAUUAGAUACCCCGGUAGUCCUAGCCGUAAACGAUGGGCACUAAGUAGAGGGGUUUU